CUUCCAGACUCCUACGGGAGGCAGCAGUGAGGAAUAUUGGUCAAUGGGCGAGAGCCUGAACCAGCCAAGUCGCGUGAAGGAUGACGGCCCUACGGGUUGUAAACUUCUUUUGUCAGGGAGCAAUUGAGUCCACGUGUGGGCUUAGCGAGAGUACCUGAAGAAAAAGCAUCGGCUAACUCCGUGCCAGCAGCCGCGGUAAUACGGAGGAUGCGAGCGUUAUCCGGAUUUAUUGGGUUUAAAGGGUGCGUAGGCGGGACCUUAAGUCAGCGGUAAAAUUGCGGUGCUCAACGCCGUAGAGCCGUUGAAACUGGGGUUCUUGAGUGAGCGAGAAGUAUGCGGAAUGCGUGGUGUAGCGGUGAAAUGCAUAGAUAUCACGCAGAACCCCGAUUGCGAAGGCAGCAUACCGGCGCUCAACUGACGCUGAGGCACGAAAGUGCGGGUAUCGAACAGGAUUAGAUACCCGGGUAA
RNAcentral lists this ribosomal RNA (468 nucleotides) under uncultured bacterium. Its description in RNAcentral is "bacterial SSU rRNA". It matches the Rfam family "Bacterial small subunit ribosomal RNA", at positions 328 to 793 of the family's 1533-position model. The record is from RNAcentral.